This 429-nucleotide ribosomal RNA is filed under the name uncultured bacterium. Its description in RNAcentral is "bacterial SSU rRNA". It matches the Rfam family "Bacterial small subunit ribosomal RNA", at positions 96 to 524 of the family's 1533-position model. The record is from RNAcentral.
CGGCGAACGGGUGCGUAACACGUAUGUAAUCUACCUUAUACUGGGGAAUAGCUCUCGGAAACGAGAAUUAAUACCCCAUAUUAUUCUGAUAGCACAUGCUAACAGAAUGAAAGCUCCGGCGGUAUAAGAUGAGCAUGCGUCCCAUUAGCUUGUUGGUAAGGUAACGGCUUACCAAGGCAACGAUGGGUAGGGGUUCUGAGAGGAAGAUCCCCCACACUGGCACUGAGAUACGGGCCAGACUCCUACGGGAGGCAGCAGUAGGGAAUAUUGAUCAAUGGGCGCAAGCCUGAACCAGCCAUGCCGCGUGCAGGAUGAAGGCCCUCAGGGUCGUAAACUGCUUUUGUACGGGAACAAAAAGCCCCUGCGGGGGUCAUUGAGGGUACCGUAAGAAUAAGCACCGGCUAACUCCGUGCCAGCAGCCGCGGUAAU